GAUGAACGCUGGCGGCGUGCUUAAUACAUGCAAGUCGAGCGAACAGACGAUGAUCUUGCUCCUCUCACGUUAGCCGCGCACGGGUGUGUAACACGUGUAUACCCUACCUAUCAUACUGGUAUAACUUCGGGACACCGGCGCUAAUCCCGUAUAAUCUACUGCACCGCAUUGUUCGAUAGUGAAAGUCGGUUUUUCUGUCUCUUCUAGCUGCAUCCGCGCCGAUUUAGCUAGUUGGUAAGGUAACGGCUUACCAGGGCAACGAUGCGUAGCCGACCUGAGAGGGUGGUCGGCCACACUGGAAGGGGGACGCGGACCAGAGUCCUACGGGAAGGAGCAGUAGGGAAUAGGACGCAAUGGGCGAGAGCAUGACGGAACAACGCCGCGUGAGUGAUGAAGGUCUUCGGAUCGUAAAACUCUGUUAUUAGGGAAAAACAAAUGUGUAAGUAACUAUGCACGUCUUGACGGUAACGAAUCAGAAAGCCACGGCUAACUACGUG
RNAcentral lists this ribosomal RNA (497 nucleotides) under uncultured bacterium. RNAcentral's name for it is "partial 16S ribosomal RNA". It matches the Rfam family "Bacterial small subunit ribosomal RNA", at positions 28 to 507 of the family's 1533-position model. The record is from RNAcentral.